GGUCUCGUAGCUCACUCAGCUGGUAGAGCGUGCGCUAUACAAAAGCGUAUGCGGCAUCCAUGCGUGGGUUCGAAUCCCACCCAGGUUA
RNAcentral lists this transfer RNA (88 nucleotides) under Echinostoma caproni. It matches the Rfam family "tRNA". From Rfam's summary of the family: Transfer RNA (tRNA) molecules are approximately 80 nucleotides in length. Their secondary structure includes four short double-helical elements and three loops (D, anti-codon, and T loops). Lineage: Eukaryota; Metazoa; Platyhelminthes; Trematoda; Plagiorchiida; Echinostomatidae. The record is from Rfam by way of RNAcentral.